GCAGAGCAUCCUACGGGAGGCAGCAGUGGGGAAUAUUGCACAAUGGGCGCAAGCCUGAUGCAGCCAUGCCGCGUGUAUGAAGAAGGCCUUCGGGUUGUAAAGUACUUUCAGCAGUGAGGAAGGUGGGUAUGUUAAUAGCAUAUUCAUUUGACGUUAGCUGCAGAAGAAGCACCGGCUAACUCCGUGCCAGCAGCCGCGGUAAUACGGAGGGUGCGAGCGUUAAUCGGAAUUACUGGGCGUAAAGCGCAUGCAGGUGGUUUGUUAAGUCAGAUGUGAAAGCCCGGGGCUCAACCUCGGAAUUGCAUUUGAAACUGGCAAACUAGAGUACUGUAGAGGGGGUAGAAUUUCAGGUGUAGCGGUGAAAUGCGUAGAGAUCUGAAGGAAUACCGGUGGCGAAGGCGGCCCCCUGGACAGAUACUGACACUCAGAUGCGAAAGCGUGGGGAGCAAACAGGAUUAGAUAGCCUGGUAG
RNAcentral lists this ribosomal RNA (471 nucleotides) under uncultured bacterium. RNAcentral describes it as "bacterial SSU rRNA". It matches the Rfam family "Bacterial small subunit ribosomal RNA", at positions 329 to 793 of the family's 1533-position model. The record is from RNAcentral.